This 1954-nucleotide long non-coding RNA is filed under the name Varroa destructor (honeybee mite). RNAcentral's name for it is "uncharacterized LOC111250118, transcript variant X2". Lineage: Eukaryota; Metazoa; Arthropoda; Arachnida; Mesostigmata; Varroidae. The record is from RNAcentral.
CUGAGAAAUACGAAAGAAAAAGUAAAAGCGUCAAUAUAUAAUUUCGUCGUGGAAAAACUCUGUUGAAAGUAAGCGAUUGUUGGCAACCGCUCAGUGGGCGGCGUAACAGGGAAAAAGUUUUUAGAUGUCUCCGGGAAUGUCUAGCUGGUAGCCCUAUUUCCCUUUACGUCCCAUUGUAGCCCGCCGGCUAUCAAAUAAGUGCGCAAAGUGCUGUCUGGAGUAUAGACGUGUGCGUGGCAAGAUAAAUCCUGUAGUGCCUGGUACGUAUGUACAAUCAGGUCACUGAAAACAAUGGCGACUAUCGUCUAGUUGCUAAGUUACAAAUAAAGUCUGAGUCACGUAUCUAGGUGCGGAUAGCCGCCGUUGCGUGCCCGUGCAACGUCGCCACUGUUCCGAUUUCGUUGGCCAGAUUGCUUGCACUUACUUCAAAAUAACGUACGAUUCUGGGUAGAUGAGACAGUGUAGCAAUGUCUCAUUUUUGGAGUUUCGCUCUAUGUUCGCUUUCUCCCGAUAGACGCUAUCGUAUAGCAGAUGCAUCAGCGAAGGAUAUCGCCAUCAGAGCUUGCUUUCCUUGCAAUACCCGGCUGCUGGGACUGACUCGUACAGGUCAGCGCACACAUGAUGUUAUCGGAGCUCGUUCGUAUGCCAGUCAAUAGCGUACAACCCUUUUUCAAACAGUUCCUCGAUUUUGACGUUUGGACAGCUGGAUCUUAGCGUAUUCGUACAGCUUAAUUCUCAUAUCUCGCAACAGAAUCACAAAGUGACCAGCUACGCUUGAUGCGACCUUUUGUCAAACGAUGACACGGCGCCGGAUCACGCAAACUUGGGUUUGAGAAGUUUCGUGUUAUGCUUUCAACUCCGUCGUCACAUCAGGUACGGUGCGUGCGUGAUGAACCCGUUCGUUUUUGUUCGGAGCUAUUAUGUCUAGAGAUUAGAUGUUUCGUAACAGCUUAAUCCCGAACAGCCGUCAUCGAAUGGCCAGCAAGAUGGAAGGAGGUCGUACGACACAAUUCGAGGAAUCGUAUGAUUCAAGUGAUAGAUUCGGAGCAUAGGUCGGAUAAUCGGCGAACCACGGCAAGCAGCGAAAGGGCAAAGGAAACGAGGAUGGUAUCUGCGCGAUGAGUCUGAGGAUAUGAGCGGCGGGGGACUGUUCCGGCUGGGAGAGACCUAUUCGGACACGUUAGGACAUGAAGAAUUACCAGCCCAUCUUGGGGAUUGCAUCGAGUUGUUAUUGUUGUUGUAGCAAUAGAAGUCUAUGUGACCAUCACUUUCAUUUGGCAGCUAGUUGCGCUAUAUGAGCGUCUUGAACGUCUAAUAGAGCGAUGAAAGGCGAAUGUAUCAUAAUGGUUGAUACUGAUACUGGCCGAUAGCGGGGGCGGCGAUAUGGAAGUAAUAAGUCACCGACGCCCACUUUAAUCUAAUAUAGAAAUACCUACGUGCAUAAAUUAAUACGACUACGUCUGCGAGGACAGCAUUAGAGCGAUCCGAAUGUACGAUAUGCUGCCCUUAGCAGGCGGCGCGUCCGAUUCUGAAGAGUUGUGGCACAUAUAUUAAUGAAAUUUAUGAAGGAACUCGCCCCAUCUGCUCGUGCGUUCACAAUUUAUAACAGAAAUAAAGUACCUACCAUAUUGAGAAAUAGGUACGAUGUCGCUCGAAUCGAAUUAUGCCCAAAGCCUUUCUUUGAUAUAGUUUAUAUCAUUCGGCCGACAUAUGUGAAAUGGUACGUUGCCGCAGCUGUAGACGGGCCUAUUUGUAGUAAAUGAGUAAAAAUAAGGCAAGUUGUGGUUUACCGAAAAUGUUCUGGGCACGAUGCUGUUGACUGCUUAUUUUGACAUUAUGUUCUAAUAAAUUAAUUAAUGUUGUAAAAUCGAGUGUUCAAUUGGAAUUGUGCCUUGCUAUAGAAAAAAAGAUCAUAAACAAGCAAAUUGGACGAUUCAAGGCUUCUUUGCCUAAC